This 510-nucleotide ribosomal RNA is filed under the name uncultured bacterium. RNAcentral describes it as "partial 16S ribosomal RNA". It matches the Rfam family "Bacterial small subunit ribosomal RNA", at positions 28 to 507 of the family's 1533-position model. The record is from RNAcentral.
GACGAACGCUGGCGGCGUGCUUAACACAUGCAAGUCGAACGAAGAGCGAUGGAAGCUUGCUUCUAUCAAUCUUAGUGGCGAACGGGAGAGUAACGCGUAAUCAACCUGGCCUUCAGAGGGGGACAACAGUUGGAAACGACUGCUAAUACCGCAUACGAUCUAAUCUCGGCAUCGAGGAUAGAUGAAAGGUGGCCUCUACAUGUAAGCUAUCACUGAAGGAGGGGAUUGCGUCUGAUUAGCUAGUUGGAGGGGUAACGGCCCACCAAGGCGAUGAUCAGUAGCCGGGCUGAGGGGAUGAACGGCCCCAUUGGGAAUGAGACACGGCCCAGACUCCCACGGGAGGCAGCAGUGGGGAAUCUUCCGCAAUGGACGAAAGGCUGACGGCGCAACGCCGCGUGAGUGAUGACGGCCUUCGGGUUGUAAAGCUCUGUUAAUCGGGACGAAAGGGCUUCUUGCGAAUAGUGAGAAGGAUUGACGGUACCGGAAUAGAAAGCCACGGCUAACUACGUG